This 253-nucleotide ribosomal RNA is filed under the name uncultured bacterium. Its description in RNAcentral is "partial 16S ribosomal RNA". It matches the Rfam family "Bacterial small subunit ribosomal RNA", at positions 524 to 776 of the family's 1533-position model. The record is from RNAcentral.
GACGAACUGCCCAAACGUUGUUCGGAAUCACUGGGCGUAAAGGGCGCGUAGGUGGCGCGAGUAGUCAACGGUGAAAGCCCGGGGCUCAACCCCGGGUCGGCCGUCGAUACUCUCGUGCUUGAGCACUGUAGAGGCAGGUGGAAUUCCGGGUGUAGCGGUGGAAUGCGUAGAGAUCCGGAAGAACACCGGUGGCGAAGGCGGCCUGCUGGGCAGUAGCUGACACUGAGGCGCGACAGCGUGGGGAGCAAACAGG